GACGAACGCUGGCGGCGUGCUUAACACAUGCAAGUCGAACGGAAAGGCCCUGCUUUUGUGGGGUGCUCGAGUGGCGAACGGGUGAGUAACACGUGAGUAACCUGCCCUUGACUUUGGGAUAACUUCAGGAAACUGGGGCUAAUACCGGAUAGGAGCUCCUGCUGCAUGGGGGGGGUUGGAAAGUUUCGGCGGUUGGGGGUGGACUCGCGGCUUAUCAGCUUGUUGGUGGGGUAGUGGCUUACCAAGGCUUUGACGGGUAGCCGGCCUGAGAGGGUGACCGGCCACAUUGGGACUGAGAUACGGCCCAGACUCCUACGGGCGGCAGCAGUGGGGAAUAUUGCACAGUGGGCGGAAGCCUGAUGCAGCAGCGCCGCGUGCGGGAUGACGGCCUUCGGGUUGUAAACCGCUUUCGCCUGUGACGAAGCGUGAGUGACGGUAAUGGGUAAAGAAGCACCGGCUAACUACGUG
RNAcentral lists this ribosomal RNA (468 nucleotides) under uncultured bacterium. RNAcentral's name for it is "partial 16S ribosomal RNA". It matches the Rfam family "Bacterial small subunit ribosomal RNA", at positions 28 to 507 of the family's 1533-position model. The record is from RNAcentral.